Molecule: ribosomal RNA, 253 nt
Filed under: uncultured bacterium
Lineage: Bacteria
Description: partial 16S ribosomal RNA
Rfam family: Bacterial small subunit ribosomal RNA
Source: RNAcentral
GACAGAGGGUGCAAACGUUGCUCGGAAUCACUGGGCGUAAAGGACGUGUAGGCGGAUAGAUAAGUCGGGCGUGAAAGCCCCAGGCUCAACCUGGGAACUGCACUCGAAACUGUUUAUCUUGAGCGCCGGAGAGGAAAGCGGAAUACCUGGUGUAGAGGUGAAAUUCGUAGAUAUCAGGUGGAACACCAGUGGCGAAGGCGGCUUUCUGGACGGUAACUGACGCUGAGACGCGAAAGCGUGGGGAGCAAACAGG